GACGAACGCUGGCGGCGUGCUUAACACAUGCAAGUCGAGCGGUAAGGCCCUUUCGGGGGUACGACGAGCGGCGAACGGGUGGAGUAACACGUGGGUGACCUGCCCUCAGCUCUGGGAUAAGCCUGGGAAACUGGGUCUAAUACUGGAUAUGACUCCACGGUGCAUGUCGUGGGGUGGAAAGCCUUGUGCGGCUGAGGAUGGGCCCGCGGCCUAUCAGCUUGUU
This 223-nucleotide ribosomal RNA is filed under the name uncultured bacterium. RNAcentral describes it as "partial 16S ribosomal RNA". It matches the Rfam family "Bacterial small subunit ribosomal RNA", at positions 28 to 250 of the family's 1533-position model. The record is from RNAcentral.